GACGAACGCUGGCGGCGUGCUUAACACAUGCAAGUCGAACGGAAAGGCCCUGCUUUUGUGGGGUGCUCGAGUGGCGAACGGGUGAGUAACACGUGAGUAACCUGCCCUUGACUUUGGGAUAACUUCAGGAAACUGGGGCUAAUACCGGAUAGGAGCUCCUGCUGCAUGGGGGGGGUUGGAAAGUUUCGGCGGUUGGGGAUGGACUCGCGGCUUAUCAGCUUGUUGGUGGGGUAGUGGCUUACCAAGGCUUCGACGGGUAGCCGGCCUGAGAGGGUGACCGGCCACAUGGGGACUGAGAGACGGACCAGACUCCUACGGGAGGCAGCAGUGGGGAAUAUUGCACAAUGGGCGGAAGCCUGAUGCAGCAACGCCGCGUGCGGGAUGACGGCCUUCGGGUUGUAAACCGAUUUCGCCUGUGACGAAGCGUGAGUGACGGUAAUGGGUAAAGAAGCACCGGCUAACUACGUG
RNAcentral lists this ribosomal RNA (468 nucleotides) under uncultured bacterium. RNAcentral describes it as "partial 16S ribosomal RNA". It matches the Rfam family "Bacterial small subunit ribosomal RNA", at positions 28 to 507 of the family's 1533-position model. The record is from RNAcentral.